GGCCCCAGUACUGAGCAUCUCUGUGGGUGGCAGGCAGGGUGCUCACAGCAGAUAAUAACCAGUCCUCUUCCUUCUCCAUCUCUCCUCUUGCUCCUCUGGCCUCUUUCCUUCCUUUCCUCUCUCCAUUUCUCUCUCUGUGUGUCUCUCUUUCCCUCCUUGUCACCCUCAGCUGUGCCCAGCAGUCCGUGGCCUCCUUGAAAGCCUGGAUGCGGAGUAUGUUAAGAACCGCACUGGUGAACUUUGGGAAGCCCAGCAGGGACAGUGAAGAGCACAGAUGAGGAAACUGCUGUGAUGCCCACCUGCUGAUUGAAUCCUGACUGAAUCUCUGUACAGCCUCCCUAUGGGACAGGCAGUGCUGCUACCAUCUAUCAGGAGGGACAACUGAGUCCAGUCAAGCACACUCUCAGAUACUCCUUCUCUCAAUCAGGACACCCUGUGCUCAUCACCCUCCACCCCAGCAAUAAAAAGCCAUA
RNAcentral lists this long non-coding RNA (473 nucleotides) under Capra hircus (goat). Its description in RNAcentral is "lncRNA (ENSCHIG00000002175.1)". The record is from RNAcentral. Lineage: Eukaryota; Metazoa; Chordata; Mammalia; Artiodactyla; Bovidae.